This 450-nucleotide ribosomal RNA is filed under the name uncultured bacterium. RNAcentral's name for it is "partial 16S ribosomal RNA". It matches the Rfam family "Bacterial small subunit ribosomal RNA", at positions 354 to 796 of the family's 1533-position model. The record is from RNAcentral.
GUGGGGAAUAUUCCGCAAUGGACGAAAGUCUGACGGAGCAACGCCGCGUGAGUGAUGAAGGUUUUCGGACUGUAAAGCUCUGUUGUUUAGGACGAAAGUGCCUGUUGCAAAUAGUUACAGGUAUUGACGGUACUGAACGAGGAAGCCACGGCUAACUACGUGCCAGCAGCCGCGGUAAUACGUAGGUGGCAAGCGUUGUCCGGAAUUAUUGGGCGUAAAGAGCAUGUAGGCGGGAAUCUAAGUCUGUUGUGAAAAUGCGGGGCUCAACCCCGUAUUGCGAUGGAAACUGGGUUUCUUGAGUGCAGGAGAGGAAAGGGGAAUUCCCAGUGUAGCGGUGAAAUGCGUAGAUAUUGGGAGAAACACCAGUGGCGAAGGCGGCUUCCUGGCACAAUACUGACGCUCAUGUGCGAAAGCUAGGGCAGCGAACGGGAUUAGAUACCCUGGUAGUCC